UGCGUAGGUGGUUUUUUAAGUCCGUUGUGAAAUCCCUGGGCUCAACCUGGGAAUGGCAGUGGAUACUGGAAAGCUGGAGUGCGGUAGAGGGUAGUGGAAUUCCCGGUGUAGCAGUGAAAUGCGCAGAGAUCGGGAGGAACACCAGUGGCGAAGGCGGCUACCUGGACCAGCACUGACACUGAGGCACGAAAGCGUGGGGAGCAAACAGGAUUAGAUACCCUGGUAGUCCACGCCCUAAACGAUGCGAACUGGACGUUGGGUGCAACUUGGCACUCAGUGUCGAAGCUAACGCGUUAAGUUCGCCGCCUGGGGAGUACGGUCGCAAGACUGAA
Molecule: ribosomal RNA, 332 nt
Filed under: uncultured bacterium
Lineage: Bacteria
Description: bacterial SSU rRNA
Rfam family: Bacterial small subunit ribosomal RNA
Source: RNAcentral